RNAcentral lists this ribosomal RNA (428 nucleotides) under uncultured prokaryote. Its description in RNAcentral is "bacterial SSU rRNA". It matches the Rfam family "Bacterial small subunit ribosomal RNA", at positions 355 to 774 of the family's 1533-position model. The record is from RNAcentral.
UGGGGAAUAUUGCGCAAUGGGCGAAAGCCUGACGCAGCGACGCCGCGUGAGGGAAGAAGGCCUUCGGGUCGUAAACCUCUGUCUAGAGGGAAGAAACCAUUGAGGUCGAACAGGCCUCUUUGCUGACGGUACCUCUGAAGGAAGCACCGGCUAACUCCGUGCCAGCAGCCGCGGUAAUACGGAGGGUGCGAGCGUUAAUCGGAAUCACUGGGCGUAAAGCGCUCGUAGGCGGUUUGGUCAGUCAGAUGUGAAAGCCCUCGGCUUAACCGGGGAACUGCAUUUGAUACUGCGAUGCUUGAGGGCCGGAGAGGGUGGCGGAAUUCCAGGUGUAGGAGUGAAAUCCGUAGAUAUCUGGAGGAACACCAGUGGCGAAGGCGGCCACCUGGCCGGCAACUGACGCUGAGGUGCGAAAGCGUGGGGAUCAAACA